Molecule: ribosomal RNA, 36 nt
Filed under: Thamnolia vermicularis
Lineage: Eukaryota; Fungi; Ascomycota; Lecanoromycetes; Pertusariales; Icmadophilaceae
Description: partial 28S ribosomal RNA
Source: RNAcentral
AGGUUGACCUCGGAUCAGGUAGGGAUACCCGCUGAA